RNAcentral lists this ribosomal RNA (496 nucleotides) under uncultured bacterium. RNAcentral describes it as "partial 16S ribosomal RNA". It matches the Rfam family "Bacterial small subunit ribosomal RNA", at positions 30 to 523 of the family's 1533-position model. The record is from RNAcentral.
AUUGAACGCUGGCGGAAUGCUUUACACAUGCAAGUCGAACGGUAGAGGGGGCAACCCCUCGAGAGUGGCGAACGGGUGAGUAAUAUAUCGGAACGUGCCCCGUCGUGGGGGAUAACGUAGCGAACGUUACGCUAAUACAGCAUACGCUCUAAGGAUGAAAGCGGGGGAUCGCAAUACCUCGCGCGAUUGGAGCGGCCGAUAUCAGAUUAGGUAGUUGGUGGGGUAAAGGCUCACCAAGCCAACGAACUGUAGCUGGUCUGAGAGGACGACCAGCCACACUGGAACUGAGACACGGUCCAGACUCCUACGGGAGGCAGCAGUGGGGAAUUUUGGACAAUGGACGCAAGUCUGAUCCAGCCAUUCCGCGUGCAGGAUGAAGGCCCUCGGGUUGUAAACUGCUUUUGUACGGAACGAAAAGGUCUCUCUUAAUACGGGGGGCUCAUGUCGGUACCGUAAGAAUAAGCACCGGCUAACUACGUGCCAGCCGCCGCCGUAA